GAGCCUGCGGUUUAAUUGGAUUCAACGCCGGAAAUCUCACCAAGGGCGACAGCAGUAUGAAGGCCAAAUUAAAGGUCUUGCCUAACACGCUGAGAGGAGGUGCAUGGCCAUCGAAAGUUCGUGUCGUGAGAUGUCCUGUUAAGUCAGGCAACGAACAAGACCCAUGCUAUUAUUUGCUAAGCGAGCUUCGGCUUGUGCGGGCACAAUAAUAGGACUGCAUUCGAUAAGAAUGAGGAAGGUGUGGGCAACGGUAGGUCAGUAUGCCCCGAAUCCCUUGGGCUACACGCGGGCUACAAUGGAUAGGACAAUGGGUUGCUACUCCGAGAGGAGACGCCAAUCCCUUAAACCUAUUCUUAGUUCGGAUUGAGGGUUGAAACUCACCCUCAUGAAGCUGGACUCCCUAGUAACCGUGAUCCAUUCAUUCACGGUGAAUACGUCCCUGCUCCUUGCACACACCGCCUGUCAAGCCACCCGAGUCGGCUCUGGGUGAGAACCAUCCUUCGUGUUUGGUUCGAACCUAAGGUUGAUAAGGAGGGUUAAGUCAACACAAGGUACCCGUAGGGGAACCUGCGGGUGGAUCACCUCCUUU
RNAcentral lists this ribosomal RNA (589 nucleotides) under archaeon CG_4_10_14_0_2_um_filter_Archaea_38_6. RNAcentral's name for it is "bacterial SSU rRNA". It matches the Rfam family "Archaeal small subunit ribosomal RNA", at positions 891 to 1478 of the family's 1478-position model. The record is from RNAcentral.